AAUACGUAGGUGGCAAGCGUUGUCCGGAUUUAUUGGGCGUAAAGCGAGCGCAGUCGGUUCUUUAAGUCUGAUGUGAAAGCCCCCGGCUCAACCGGGGAGGGUCAUUGGAAACUGGAGAACUUGAGUGCAGAAGAGGAGAGUGGAAUUCCACGUGUAGCGGUGAAAUGCGUAGAUAUGUGGAGGUACACCAGUGGCGAAGGCGACUCUCUGGUCUGUAACUGACGCUGAGGCUCGAAAG
Molecule: ribosomal RNA, 238 nt
Filed under: uncultured Carnobacteriaceae bacterium
Lineage: Bacteria; Bacillati; Bacillota; Bacilli; Lactobacillales; Carnobacteriaceae
Description: partial 16S ribosomal RNA
Rfam family: Bacterial small subunit ribosomal RNA
Source: RNAcentral